CCUACGGGCGGCAGCAGUGGGGAAUAUUGGACAAUGGGCGAAAGCCUGAUCCAGCCAUGCCGCGUGUGUGAAGAAGGCCUUCGGGUUGUAAAGCACUUUCAGUGGGGAAGAAAGCCUUGGGGCUAAUACCCUCGAGGAAGGACAUCACCCACAGAAGAAGCACCGGCUGAACUCCGUGCCAGCAGCCGCGGUAAUACGGAGGGUGCGAGCGUUAAUCGGAAUUACUGGGCGUAAAGCGCGCGUAGGCGGUCUGAUAAGCCGGUUGUGAAAGCCCCGGGCUCAACCUGGGAACGGCAUCCGGAACUGUCAGGCUAGAGUGCAGGAGAGGAAGGUAGAAUUCCCGGUGUAGCGGUGAAAUGCGUAGAGAUCGGGAGGAAUACCAGUGGCGAAGGCGGCCUUCUGGACUGACACUGACGCUGAGGUGCGAAAGCGUGGGUAGCAAACAGGAUUAGAUACCCGGGUAGUC
Molecule: ribosomal RNA, 466 nt
Filed under: Vreelandella stevensii
Lineage: Bacteria; Pseudomonadati; Pseudomonadota; Gammaproteobacteria; Oceanospirillales; Halomonadaceae
Description: partial 16S ribosomal RNA
Rfam family: Bacterial small subunit ribosomal RNA
Source: RNAcentral